This 313-nucleotide ribosomal RNA is filed under the name Vairimorpha apis. RNAcentral's name for it is "Nosema apis partial small subunit ribosomal RNA". It matches the Rfam family "Microsporidia small subunit ribosomal RNA", at positions 50 to 362 of the family's 1311-position model. Lineage: Eukaryota; Fungi; Microsporidia; Nosematidae. The record is from RNAcentral.
GGGCAUGUCUUUGACGUACUAUGUACUGAAAGAUGGACUGCUCAGUAAUACUCACUUUAUUUGAUGUACAUUAUACAUAACUACGUUAAAGUGUAGCUAACAUAUGUACAGUAAGAGUGAGACCUAUCAGCUAGUUGUUAAGGUAAUGGCUUAACAAGGCAAUAACGGGUAACGGUAUUACUUUGUAAUAUUCCGGAGAAGGAGCCUGAGAGACGGCUACUAAGUCUAAGGAUUGCAGCAGGGGCGAAACUUGACCUAUGGAUAUUAUCUGAGGCAGUUAUGGGAAGUAACAUAGUUGUUUCACAUUUUAAAC